This is a long non-coding RNA of Scylla paramamosain (green mud crab), 482 nucleotides long. RefSeq lists it as uncharacterized. The record is from RefSeq and is a predicted model, not a curated record. NCBI's taxonomy places the organism in Eukaryota, Metazoa, Arthropoda, Malacostraca, Decapoda, Portunidae. The transcript has 3 exons.
UAAUCAAAUAAGCAGACAUCGUGAAACAGUUUUUCCAGGAUUCGCAGGACAAGCCUUCAGUCAGCCUCCAGAACUGUGUCGUGUGGGAAGUGUUACUGGAACCGUAGAAAAAUAGUGCUUGUGCUCCACUCAUAGGUUCCUUUGUUGCACUGAGAAGAGACCAGUGGGUGUUGCAAGCGGCGCGCCACUCGGCUCAGUGCGGUAAUCUGUUCAGCGCUGCAGUGGCGGAGGUACAAGAGUAACCCGCGCCGAGGUACAGUGCUGGGCUACUAUUAGUUGUCUACGCUUCGGUCGAGUUGGAUUGUGGGUAUCAAGUCUUUCCUGUUUCGUGGGUGACUGGAAGGAAGGAAGACUUGUUUUGGGAAGCUUGAUCGACUGCGAAGUGAGAGAAGAGGAGUUACUGUCGAGUGUUCCAGAGAGAGAGAGAGAGAGAGAGAGAGAGAGAGAGAGAGAGAGAGAGAGAGAGAAAUGAAAUAAAACAA